CGGGGUGUCGCUCGGCGGCAACACCUUCCUUUCACGUUCCGGCUCUGCGAUCGCCCCUGGCCUGGGGUGCUACCCGGUUCGUGCCGCCCUGCUGGCGUCAGAGCAGUGACGAUGACGCGCCCG
This 123-nucleotide small RNA is filed under the name Streptomyces roseus. RNAcentral describes it as "gntR-DTE RNA". It matches the Rfam family "gntR-DTE RNA". Lineage: Bacteria; Bacillati; Actinomycetota; Actinomycetes; Kitasatosporales; Streptomycetaceae. The record is from Rfam by way of RNAcentral.